UAAGGAAUAUUGGUCAAUGGACGCAAGUCUGAACCAGCCAUGCCGCGUGAAGGAUGAAGGUCCUCUGGAUUGUAAACUUCUUUUAUCUGGGACGAAAACGGGAUUUUUAUCUCAAUUGACGGUACCAGAGGAAUAAGCACCGGCUAACUCCGUGCCAGCAGCCGCGGUAAUACGGAGGGUGCGAGCGUUAUCCGGAUUUACUGGGUUUAAAGGGUGCGUAGGUGGGCUUAUAAGUCAGUGGUGAAAUCUCCGAGCUUAACUUGGAAACUGCCGUUGAUACUAUAGGUCUUGAAUUAUCUGGAGGUAAGCGGAAUAUGUCAUGUAGCGGUGAAAUGCUUAGAUAUGACAUAGAACACCAAUUGCGAAGGCAGCUUACUACAUAUAAAUUGACGCUGAGGCACGAAAACGUGGGGAUCAAACA
RNAcentral lists this ribosomal RNA (421 nucleotides) under uncultured bacterium. RNAcentral's name for it is "bacterial SSU rRNA". It matches the Rfam family "Bacterial small subunit ribosomal RNA", at positions 355 to 774 of the family's 1533-position model. The record is from RNAcentral.